Molecule: ribosomal RNA, 253 nt
Filed under: uncultured bacterium
Lineage: Bacteria
Description: partial 16S ribosomal RNA
Rfam family: Bacterial small subunit ribosomal RNA
Source: RNAcentral
UACGUAGGGGGCAAGCAUUAUCCGGAUUUACUGGGUGUAAAGGGAGCGUAGACGGCCAGACAAGUCUGAAGUGAAAAUCCAGCGCUUAACGCUGGAAGUGCUUUGGAAACUGCCGGGCUGGAGUGCAGGAGGGGCAGGCGGAAUUCCUAGUGUAGCGGUGAAAUGCGUAGAUAUUAGGAGGAACACCAGUGGCGAAGGCGGCCUGCUGGACUGCAACUGACGUUGAGGCUCGAAGGCGUGGGGAGCAAACAGG